This 559-nucleotide ribosomal RNA is filed under the name Aureobasidium thailandense. RNAcentral describes it as "LSU rRNA". It matches the Rfam family "Eukaryotic large subunit ribosomal RNA", at positions 31 to 598 of the family's 3401-position model. Lineage: Eukaryota; Fungi; Ascomycota; Dothideomycetes; Dothideales; Saccotheciaceae. The record is from RNAcentral.
AACUUAAGCAUAUCAAUAAGCGGAGGAAAAGAAACCAACAGGGAUUGCCCUAGUAACGGCGAGUGAAGCGGCAACAGCUCAAAUUUGAAAGCUGGCCUUCGGGUCCGCAUUGUAAUUUGUAGAGGAUGCUUUGGGGCAGCCGCCUGUCUAAGUUCCUUGGAACAGGACGUCAUAGAGGGUGAGAAUCCCGUAUGUGACAGGACAUGGCACCCUAUGUAAAGCUCCUUCGACGAGUCGAGUUGUUUGGGAAUGCAGCUCUAAAUGGGAGGUAAAUUUCUUCUAAAGCUAAAUACCGGCGAGAGACCGAUAGCGCACAAGUAGAGUGAUCGAAAGAUGAAAAGCACUUUGGAAAGAGAGUUAAAAAGCACGUGAAAUUGUUGAAAGGGAAGCGCUUGCAAUCAGACUUGUUUUGACUGUUCGGCCGGUCUUCUGACCGGUUUACUCAGUCUGGACAGGCCAGCAUCAGUUUUGGCGGCCGGAUAAAGGCCUAGGGAAUGUGGCUCUCGCUUCGGUGGGAGUGUUAUAGCCCUGGGUGUAAUACGGCCAGCCGGGACUGAGG